Molecule: ribosomal RNA, 2934 nt
Filed under: Escherichia coli
Lineage: Bacteria; Pseudomonadati; Pseudomonadota; Gammaproteobacteria; Enterobacterales; Enterobacteriaceae
Description: 23S ribosomal RNA
Rfam family: Bacterial large subunit ribosomal RNA
Source: RNAcentral
GGGUUGUGAGGUUAAGCGACUAAGCGUACACGGUGGAUGCCCUGGCAGUCAGAGGCGAUGAAGGACGUGCUAAUCUGCGAUAAGCGUCGGUAAGGUGAUAUGAACCGUUAUAACCGGCGAUUUCCGAAUGGGGAAACCCAGUGUGUUUCGACACACUAUCAUUAACUGAAUCCAUAGGUUAAUGAGGCGAACCGGGGGAACUGAAACAUCUAAGUACCCCGAGGAAAAGAAAUCAACCGAGAUUCCCCCAGUAGCGGCGAGCGAACGGGGAGCAGCCCAGAGCCUGAAUCAGUGUGUGUGUUAGUGGAAGCGUCUGGAAAGGCGCGCGAUACAGGGUGACAGCCCCGUACACAAAAAUGCACAUGCUGUGAGCUCGAUGAGUAGGGCGGGACACGUGGUAUCCUGUCUGAAUAUGGGGGGACCAUCCUCCAAGGCUAAAUACUCCUGACUGACCGAUAGUGAACCAGUACCGUGAGGGAAAGGCGAAAAGAACCCCGGCGAGGGGAGUGAAAAAGAACCUGAAACCGUGUACGUACAAGCAGUGGGAGCCUCUCUUUAUGGGGGGUGACUGCGUACCUUUUGUAUAAUGGGUCAGCGACUUAUAUUCUGUAGCAAGGUUAACCGAAUAGGGGAGCCGAAGGGAAACCGAGUCUUAACUGGGCGUUAAGUUGCAGGGUAUAGACCCGAAACCCGGUGAUCUAGCCAUGGGCAGGUUGAAGGUUGGGUAACACUAACUGGAGGACCGAACCGACUAAUGUUGAAAAAUUAGCGGAUGACUUGUGGCUGGGGGUGAAAGGCCAAUCAAACCGGGAGAUAGCUGGUUCUCCCCGAAAGCUAUUUAGGUAGCGCCUCGUGAAUUCAUCUCCGGGGGUAGAGCACUGUUUCGGCAAGGGGGUCAUCCCGACUUACCAACCCGAUGCAAACUGCGAAUACCGGAGAAUGUUAUCACGGGAGACACACGGCGGGUGCUAACGUCCGUCGUGAAGAGGGAAACAACCCAGACCGCCAGCUAAGGUCCCAAAGUCAUGGUUAAGUGGGAAACGAUGUGGGAAGGCCCAGACAGCCAGGAUGUUGGCUUAGAAGCAGCCAUCAUUUAAAGAAAGCGUAAUAGCUCACUGGUCGAGUCGGCCUGCGCGGAAGAUGUAACGGGGCUAAACCAUGCACCGAAGCUGCGGCAGCGACGCUUAUGCGUUGUUGGGUAGGGGAGCGUUCUGUAAGCCUGUGAAGGUGUGCUGUGAGGCAUGCUGGAGGUAUCAGAAGUGCGAAUGCUGACAUAAGUAACGAUAAAGCGGGUGAAAAGCCCGCUCGCCGGAAGACCAAGGGUUCCUGUCCAACGUUAAUCGGGGCAGGGUGAGUCGACCCCUAAGGCGAGGCCGAAAGGCGUAGUCGAUGGGAAACAGGUUAAUAUUCCUGUACUUGGUGUUACUGCGAAGGGGGGACGGAGAAGGCUAUGUUGGCCGGGCGACGGUUGUCCCGGUUUAAGCGUGUAGGCUGGUUUUCCAGGCAAAUCCGGAAAAUCAAGGCUGAGGCGUGAUGACGAGGCACUACGGUGCUGAAGCAACAAAUGCCCUGCUUCCAGGAAAAGCCUCUAAGCAUCAGGUAACAUCAAAUCGUACCCCAAACCGACACAGGUGGUCAGGUAGAGAAUACCAAGGCGCUUGAGAGAACUCGGGUGAAGGAACUAGGCAAAAUGGUGCCGUAACUUCGGGAGAAGGCACGCUGAUAUGUAGGUGAAGUCCCUCGCGGAUGGAGCUGAAAUCAGUCGAAGAUACCAGCUGGCUGCAACUGUUUAUUAAAAACACAGCACUGUGCAAACACGAAAGUGGACGUAUACGGUGUGACGCCUGCCCGGUGCCGGAAGGUUAAUUGAUGGGGUUAGCGCAAGCGAAGCUCUUGAUCGAAGCCCCGGUAAACGGCGGCCGUAACUAUAACGGUCCUAAGGUAGCGAAAUUCCUUGUCGGGUAAGUUCCGACCUGCACGAAUGGCGUAAUGAUGGCCAGGCUGUCUCCACCCGAGACUCAGUGAAAUUGAACUCGCUGUGAAGAUGCAGUGUACCCGCGGCAAGACGGAAAGACCCCGUGAACCUUUACUAUAGCUUGACACUGAACAUUGAGCCUUGAUGUGUAGGAUAGGUGGGAGGCUUUGAAGUGUGGACGCCAGUCUGCAUGGAGCCGACCUUGAAAUACCACCCUUUAAUGUUUGAUGUUCUAACGUGGACCCGUGAUCCGGGUUGCGGACAGUGUCUGGUGGGUAGUUUGACUGGGGCGGUCUCCUCCUAAAGAGUAACGGAGGAGCACGAAGGUUGGCUAAUCCUGGUCGGACAUCAGGAGGUUAGUGCAAUGGCAUAAGCCAGCUUGACUGCGAGCGUGACGGCGCGAGCAGGUGCGAAAGCAGGUCAUAGUGAUCCGGUGGUUCUGAAUGGAAGGGCCAUCGCUCAACGGAUAAAAGGUACUCCGGGGAUAACAGGCUGAUACCGCCCAAGAGUUCAUAUCGACGGCGGUGUUUGGCACCUCGAUGUCGGCUCAUCACAUCCUGGGGCUGAAGUAGGUCCCAAGGGUAUGGCUGUUCGCCAUUUAAAGUGGUACGCGAGCUGGGUUUAGAACGUCGUGAGACAGUUCGGUCCCUAUCUGCCGUGGGCGCUGGAGAACUGAGGGGGGCUGCUCCUAGUACGAGAGGACCGGAGUGGACGCAUCACUGGUGUUCGGGUUGUCAUGCCAAUGGCACUGCCCGGUAGCUAAAUGCGGAAGAGAUAAGUGCUGAAAGCAUCUAAGCACGAAACUUGCCCCGAGAUGAGUUCUCCCUGACCCUUUAAGGGUCCUGAAGGAACGUUGAAGACGACGACGUUGAUAGGCCGGGUGUGUAAGCGCAGCGAUGCGUUGAGCUAACCGGUACUAAUGAACCGUGAGGCUUAACCUUACAACGCCGAAGGUGUUU